Molecule: non-coding RNA, 330 nt
Organism: Felis catus (domestic cat)
Lineage: Eukaryota; Metazoa; Chordata; Mammalia; Carnivora; Felidae
Rfam family: 7SK RNA
About the family: 7SK was discovered as an abundant small nuclear RNA in the mid-70s but a possible function has only recently been suggested. Two independent studies have found that 7SK RNA binds the CDK9/cyclin T complex (known as elongation factor P-TEFb).
Source: Rfam
GGAUGUGAGGGAUUAUCUGGCUGUGGAAUCUGUCACGCCAUUGAUCACCAGGGUUCAUUUGGCUGAUGUGACUGGCUAGACAGGUGUCCCCUUCUUCUCUUUCCACUCCAAGUGUACCCCUGCCAAAGCUGCAUGCUCAGUGGAGUACAGUCUUCCCUGGUGGAGAAGAAUCGGUCUUUGGUCAAGAACACAUGAGUAGCUGUGCUCUCCUGCUAGAAUCUCCAAACAAGCUCUCAAGGUCCAUUUAUAGGAAAACAUAGGGCAGUCAAGCUUCCAAGACUCCAGACACAUCCAAAUGAGGCGCUGCAUGUGGCAGUCUUUCUUAACAAU